Molecule: transfer RNA, 82 nt
Filed under: Coemansia erecta
Lineage: Eukaryota; Fungi; Kickxellomycota; Kickxellomycetes; Kickxellales; Kickxellaceae
Also listed under: 8 other names
Description: tRNA-Leu
Rfam family: tRNA
About the family: Transfer RNA (tRNA) molecules are approximately 80 nucleotides in length. Their secondary structure includes four short double-helical elements and three loops (D, anti-codon, and T loops). Further hydrogen bonds mediate the characteristic L-shaped molecular structure. tRNAs have two regions of fundamental functional importance: the anti-codon, which is responsible for specific mRNA codon recognition, and the 3' end, to which the tRNAs corresponding amino acid is attached (by aminoacyl-tRNA synthetases). tRNAs cope with the degeneracy of the genetic code in two manners: having more than one tRNA (with a specific anti-codon) for a particular amino acid; and 'wobble' base-pairing, i.e. permitting non-standard base-pairing at the 3rd anti-codon position.
Source: RNAcentral
GGUGAAAUGGCCGAGCGGUCUAAGGCGCCACGUUAAGGCCGUGGUCUAGUAAUAGGCGUGGGUUCGAAUCCCACUUUCAUCA